CAAAGUGUAGCUUAAUAAAAGCAUCUGGCUUACACCCAGAAGAUUUCAUGACUAAUGACCACUUUGA
RNAcentral lists this transfer RNA (67 nucleotides) under Vulpes chama (Cape fox). RNAcentral describes it as "tRNA-Val". It matches the Rfam family "tRNA". Rfam says of the family: Transfer RNA (tRNA) molecules are approximately 80 nucleotides in length. Their secondary structure includes four short double-helical elements and three loops (D, anti-codon, and T loops). The record is from RNAcentral. RNAcentral also lists the same sequence under 3 other names. Lineage: Eukaryota; Metazoa; Chordata; Mammalia; Carnivora; Canidae.